This 373-nucleotide ribosomal RNA is filed under the name Aphanomyces astaci. RNAcentral's name for it is "partial large subunit ribosomal RNA". The record is from RNAcentral. Lineage: Eukaryota; Oomycota; Saprolegniomycetes; Saprolegniales; Verrucalvaceae.
AGCAAUAUUUUCAAGAAACAACUUUUUAAAUUCUAAUUUAAUAGAAGUCAAGUUAUGGUCUGAGAGAUAACUUAAAAAUGGUAAGUUAUUUAGGAACAAGAUAAAAGGCAAAACACCAAACUUCAUACAAACUUAAAUGUUUGACAUUUAAAAAUUAAAGAGAUUUUUUUUAACGUGUAUUUGAGACAAAUAAGCCAACCUUGGUACAUAACCGCUGAAAACUAAAAAACCGUACCCUAAACCAACACAGGUGGAUAGGUCGAGUAGACUAAGGUGUAUGAGAUAAUUAUGUUGAAGGAACUCGGCAAAAUGACUCUGUAACUUCGGGAGAAAGAGUACCUUUUUAUUUAAGUGUUUAUCGACGAAAUAAUAA